This 77-nucleotide transfer RNA is filed under the name Candidatus Omnitrophota bacterium. Its description in RNAcentral is "Candidatus Omnitrophica bacterium tRNA-Val". It matches the Rfam family "tRNA". Rfam says of the family: Transfer RNA (tRNA) molecules are approximately 80 nucleotides in length. The record is from RNAcentral. Lineage: Bacteria; Pseudomonadati; Candidatus Omnitrophota.
GGGCGCAUAGCUCAGCUGGUUAGAGCGCAUGCUUCACAUGCAUGAGGUCGGAGGUUCGAGUCCCCCUGUGCCCACCA